CACAAAUGCACACAAGACAGAGCCAUUUUUUUUCCCCACUGUGCAUUUGGCUUGAUGAGUGAGUGAUCAAAUUAUGUGAUAAUGACAUCCUGCACGUCUCCUUUAUAGAUUUCCUCUUCCUCUGUCUCACAGCACAGCAGCUCCGGGGACAGAUUCAUUUAGCAGAUACCGAUUCUACACUACUAGACAUCAUCAUUUAGUGCGACUCCAGCAUGGAUGUGUGAAGCAGCAAGGUGGCAUCCCUCAGCAGCCCCCGCAGCGGUGUGUGUGUGUGUGUGGUGGAGAUGGAUGUGUUCAUGUUUGCCCCGGGGGCUUGGAUGGAGCAGUCUGUACCUACAUCGUAGAGAGUGCACCAGCGGCAGUUGGAUGGGUUUAUACUGUAUAUGUCAUGGGAGGAACUGACGGAGACACUCCUUUGAAUUCAGAGUCUGUGAAGUGGAGCAGGACAAUGUCUCACCAGUCCUUGUUUCGGAUUCUCAUCCACAGACGACUGGUUUGGGCACAG
Carassius auratus (goldfish) is the source of this 505-nucleotide long non-coding RNA. RefSeq lists it as uncharacterized. The record is from RefSeq and is a predicted model, not a curated record. NCBI's taxonomy places the organism in Eukaryota, Metazoa, Chordata, Actinopteri, Cypriniformes, Cyprinidae. The transcript has 4 exons.